CCUACGGGUGGCAGCAGUGGGGAAUAUUGGACAAUGGGCGAAAGCCUGAUCCAGCCAUGCCGCGUGUGUGAAGAAGGCCUUCGGGUUGUAAAGCACUUUCAGUGGGGAAGAAAGCCUUGGGUCUAAUACCCUCGAGGAAGGACAUCACCCACAGAAGAAGCACCGGCUAACUCCGUGCCAGCAGCCGCGGUAAUACGGAGGGUGCGAGCGUUAAUCGGAAUUACUGGGCGUAAAGCGCGCGUAGGCGGUCUGAUAAGCCGGUUGUGAAAGCCCCGGGCUCAACCUGGGAACGGCAUCCGGAACUGUCAGGCUAGAGUGCAGGAGAGGAAGGUAGAAUUCCCGGUGUAGCGGUGAAAUGCGUAGAGAUCGGGAGGAAUACCAGUGGCGAAGGCGGCCUUCUGGACUGACACUGACGCUGAGGUGCGAAAGCGUGGGUAGCAAACAGGACUAGAUACCCGUGUAGUC
RNAcentral lists this ribosomal RNA (465 nucleotides) under Vreelandella stevensii. Its description in RNAcentral is "partial 16S ribosomal RNA". It matches the Rfam family "Bacterial small subunit ribosomal RNA", at positions 338 to 795 of the family's 1533-position model. The record is from RNAcentral. Lineage: Bacteria; Pseudomonadati; Pseudomonadota; Gammaproteobacteria; Oceanospirillales; Halomonadaceae.